RNAcentral lists this ribosomal RNA (407 nucleotides) under uncultured bacterium. RNAcentral's name for it is "bacterial SSU rRNA". It matches the Rfam family "Bacterial small subunit ribosomal RNA", at positions 355 to 776 of the family's 1533-position model. The record is from RNAcentral.
UAGGGAAUAUUGCGCAAUGGGCGAAAGCCUGACGCAGCGACGCCGCGUGAGUGAUGAAGGCCUUCGGGUCGUAAAGCUCUGUCGCAGGGGAAUAACACAAUGAAUGUACCCUGAAAGAAAGGAUCGGCUAACUUCGUGCCAGCAGCCGCGGUAAGACGAGGGAUCCAAGCGUUGUUCGGAAUCAUUGGGCGUAAAGCGGGUGUAGGUGGCUUUGUAAGUCGGGUGUGAAAGCCCAGGGCUCAACCCUGGAAGUGCAUUCGAUACUGCGAAGCUUGAGUGUAGGAGAGGUUACUAGAAUUCUUGGUGUAGUGGUGAAAUACGUAGAUAUCAAGAGGAAUACCGGAGGCGAAGGCGGGUAACUGGCCUAACACUGACACUCAGACCCGAAAGCGUGGGGAUCAAACAGG